GAUGAAGAACGUAGCGAAAUGCGAUAAGUAGUGUGAAUUGCAGAAUUUAGUGAAUCAUCGAAUCUUUGAACGCACAUUGCGCCCUAUAGUAUUCUGUAGGGCAUGCCUGUUCGAGCGUUAUUGAGACCUCAAGCUCUGCUUGGAAAUGGGCGCUUGUCUUGCCUUGCAGACUCGCCUUAAAACCAUUGGCAGCUGAUUUACAAUGUUUGGUGCACAGUACAUGAGCCCAAGUGUUGCAAUGAGUGGCCCAAAAGUAUACGAUAGAAGAUUAACCUCGGAUCAGGUAGGGAUACCCGCUGAACUUAAGCAUAUCAAUAAGCGGAGGA
Molecule: unclassified non-coding RNA, 326 nt
Filed under: soil metagenome
Description: partial contains 5.8S ribosomal RNA, internal transcribed spacer 2, and large subunit ribosomal RNA
Rfam family: 5.8S ribosomal RNA (bases 1-120)
Source: RNAcentral